This 486-nucleotide ribosomal RNA is filed under the name uncultured bacterium. RNAcentral's name for it is "partial 16S ribosomal RNA". It matches the Rfam family "Bacterial small subunit ribosomal RNA", at positions 30 to 507 of the family's 1533-position model. The record is from RNAcentral.
AUUGAACGCUGGCGGCAUGCCUUACACAUGCAAGUCGAACGGCAGCACGGGUGCCUGCACCUGGUGGCGAGUGGCGAACGGGUGAGUAAUACAUCGGAACAUGUCCUGUAGCGGGGGAUAGCCCGGCGAAAGCCGGAUUAAUACCGCAUACGAUCUACGGAUGAAAGCGGGGGACCUUCGGGCCUCGCGCUAUAGGGUUGGCCGAUGGCUGAUUAGCUAGUUGGUGGGGUAAAGGCCUACCAAGGCGACGAUCAGUAGCUGGUCUGAGAGGACGACCAGCCACACUGGGACUGAGACACGGCCCAGACUCCUACGGGAGGCAGCAGUGGGGAAUUUUGGACAAUGGGCGAAAGCCUGAUCCAGCAAUGCCGCGUGUGUGAAGAAGGCCUUCGGGUUGUAAAGCACUUUUGUCCGGAAAGAAAUCCUUGGCCCUAAUACGGUCGGGGGAUGACGGUACCGGAAGAAUAAGCACCGGCUAACUACGUG